This 687-nucleotide ribosomal RNA is filed under the name uncultured bacterium. RNAcentral's name for it is "bacterial SSU rRNA". It matches the Rfam family "Bacterial small subunit ribosomal RNA", at positions 377 to 1053 of the family's 1533-position model. The record is from RNAcentral.
GCAAGCCUGAUGCAGCCAUGCCGCGUGUGUGAAGAAGGCCCUAGGGUUGUAAAGCACUUUCAGCGAGGAGGAAAGGUUAUAGUUUAAUAGACUAUAGCUGUGACGUUACUCGCAGAAGAAGCACCGGCUAACCUUCGUGCCAGCAGCCGCGGUAAUACGAGGGGUGCAAGCGUUAAUCGGAAUUACUGGGCGUAAAGCGUACGCAGGCGGUUUGUUAAGCGAGAUGUGAAAGCCCCGGGCUCAACCUGGGAACUGCAUUUCGAACUGGCAGACUAGAGUAUGAUAGAGGGUGGUAGAAUUUCAGGUGUAGCGGUGAAAUGCGUAGAGAUCUGAAGGAAUACCGAUGGCGAAGGCAGCCACCUGGGUCAAUACUGACGCUCAUGUACGAAAGCGUGGGGAGCAAACGGGAUUAGAUACCCCGGUAGUCCACGCCGUAAACGAUGUCUACUAGGAGCUGGAAUCUUCGGAUGACUUUUCCAAAGCUAACGCAUUAAGUAGACCGCCUGGGGAGUACCGGCCGCAAGGUUAAAACUCAAAUGAAUUUGACGGGGGCCCGCACAAGCCGGGGAGCAUGUGGUUUAAUUCGAUGCAACGCGAAAAACCUUACCUACACUUGGCAUCCAGAGAAGAGACUUGAGAUUGACUUGGGCCUUCUGGAACUCUGAGACAGGUGCUGCAUGGCUUGUC